RNAcentral lists this microRNA (21 nucleotides) under Scyliorhinus torazame (cloudy catshark). RNAcentral describes it as "Sto-Mir-34-P3d_3p* (star (passenger))". Lineage: Eukaryota; Metazoa; Chordata; Chondrichthyes; Carcharhiniformes; Scyliorhinidae. The record is from RNAcentral.
GCAGCUGCAUGCACCACCACA